AUACGUAGGGGGCGAGCGUUGUCCGGAAUGAUUGGGCGUAAAGGGCGCGUAGGCGGCGCGGUAAGUCUGGAGUGAAAGUCCUGCUUUCAAGGUGGGAAUUGCUUUGGAUACUGCCGCGCUUGAGUGCAGGAGAGGUUAUCGGAAUUCCCGGUGUAGCGGUGAAAUGCGUAGAGAUCGGGAGGAACACCAGUGGCGAAGGCGGGUAACUGGACUGCAACUGACGCUGAGGCGCGAAAGUGUGGGGAGCAAACAGGAUUAGAUACCCUGGUAGUCCACACUGUAAACGAUGAAUGCUAGGUGUAAGAGGUAUCGACCCCUUUUGUGCCGGAGUCAACACAAUAAGCAUUCCGCCUGGGGAGUACGGCCGCAAGGCUUAAACUCAAAGGAAUUGACGGGG
This 397-nucleotide ribosomal RNA is filed under the name uncultured bacterium. RNAcentral describes it as "partial 16S ribosomal RNA". It matches the Rfam family "Bacterial small subunit ribosomal RNA", at positions 523 to 918 of the family's 1533-position model. The record is from RNAcentral.